Molecule: ribosomal RNA, 1489 nt
Filed under: uncultured organism
Description: SSU rRNA
Rfam family: Bacterial small subunit ribosomal RNA
Source: RNAcentral
GAUGAACGCUGGCGGCGUGCCUAAUACAUGCAAGUCGAACGAGUUCUGAUUAUUGAAAGGUGCUUGCAUCUUGAUUUUAAUUUUGAACGAGUGGCGGACGGGUGAGUAACACGUGGGUAACCUGCCCUUAAGUGGGGGAUAACAUUUGGAAACAGAUGCUAAUACCGCAUAAAUCCAAGAACCGCAUGGUUCUUGGCUGAAAGAUGGCGUAAGCUAUCGCUUUUGGAUGGACCCGCGGCGUAUUAGCUAGUUGGUGAGGUAACGGCUCACCAAGGCAAUGAUACGUAGCCGAACUGGGAGGUUGAUCGGCCACAUUGGGACUGAGACACGGCCCAAACUCCUACGGGAGGCAGCAGUAGGGAAUCUUCCACAAUGGACGCGAGUCUGAUGGAGCAACGCCGCGUGAGUGAAGAAGGCUUUCGGGUCGUAAAACUCUGUUGUUGGAGAAGAAUGGUCGGCAGAGUAACUGUUGUCGGCGUGACGGUAUCCAACCAGAAAGCCACGGCUAACUACGUGCCAGCAGCCGCGGUAAUACGUAGGUGGCAAGCGUUAUCCGGAUUUAUUGGGCGUAAAGCGAGCGCAGGCGGUUUUUUAAGUCUGAUGUGAAAGCCCUCGGCUUAACCGAGGAAGUGCAUCGGAAACUGGGAAACUUGAGUGCAGAAGAGGACAGUGGAACUCCAUGUGUAGCGGUGAAAUGCGUAGAUAUAUGGAAGAACACCAGUGGCGAAGGGCGGCUGUCUGGUCUGUAACUGACGCUGAGGGCUCGAAAGCAUGGGUAGCGAACAGGAUUAGAUACCCUGGUAGUCCAUGCCGUAAACGAUGAAUGCUAGGUGUUGGAGGGUUUCCGCCCUUCAGUGCCGCAGCUAACGCAUUAAGCAUUCCGCCUGGGGAGUACGACCGCAAGGUUGAAACUCAAAGGAAUUGACGGGGGCCCGCACAAGCGGUGGAGCAUGUGGUUUAAUUCGAAGCAACGCGAAGAACCUUACCAGGUCUUGACAUCUUUUGAUCACCUGAGAGAUCAGGUUUCCCCUUCGGGGGCAAAAUGACAGGUGGUGCAUGGUUGUCGUCAGCUCGUGUCGUGAGAUGUUGGGUUAAGUCCCGCAACGAGCGCAACCCUUAUGACUAGUUGCCAGCAUUUAGUUGGGCACUCUAGUAAGACUGCCGGUGACAAACCGGAGGAAGGUGGGGAUGACGUCAAAUCAUCAUGCCCCUUAUGACCUGGGCUACACACGUGCUACAAUGGAUGGUACAACGAGUUGCGAGACCGCGAGGUCAAGCUAAUCUCUUAAAGCCAUUCUCAGUUCGGACUGUAGGCUGCAACUCGCCUACACGAAGUCGGAAUCGCUAGUAAUCGCGGAUCAGCACGCCGCGGUGAAUACGUUCCCGGGCCUUGUACACACCGCCCGUCACACCAUGAGAGUUUGUAACACCCGAAGCCGGUGGCGUAACCCUUUUAGGGAGCGAGCCGUCUAAGGUGGGACAAAUGAUU